AGCGAACGCUGGCGGCAGGCCUAACACAUGCAAGUCGAACGAACUCUUCGGAGUUAGUGGCGGACGGGUGAGUAACACGUGGGAACGUGCCUUUAGGUUCGGAAUAACUCAGGGAAACUUGUGCUAAUACCGAAUGUGCCCUUGGGGAAAGAUUUAUCGCCUUUAGAGCGGCCCGCGUCUGAUUAGCUAGUUGGUGAGGUAAAGGCUCACCAAGGCGACGAUCAGUAGCUGGUCUGAGAGGAUGAUCAGCCACAUUGGGACUGAGACACGGCCCAAACUCCUACGGGAGGCAGCAGUGGGGAAUCUUGCGCAAUGGGCGCAAGCCUGAUCCAGCCAUGCCGCGUGUGUGAAGAA
This 354-nucleotide ribosomal RNA is filed under the name uncultured bacterium. RNAcentral describes it as "bacterial SSU rRNA". It matches the Rfam family "Bacterial small subunit ribosomal RNA", at positions 29 to 412 of the family's 1533-position model. The record is from RNAcentral.